Homo sapiens (human) is the source of this 828-nucleotide long non-coding RNA. Ensembl annotates it as long intergenic non-protein coding RNA 237. NCBI's taxonomy places the organism in Eukaryota, Metazoa, Chordata, Mammalia, Primates, Hominidae. The record is from Ensembl.
GUGGCGGUCGGGUUGGGCCACCCCAAGCCCCUUCUUUUCCCCAGCCCGCAGAGCCCGGCCUUGCCUAGUGCUCGGCGGGGUUCAGGCAGGUCCGGGGGAAGAGGGAGUGGAUGAAGCCUGCGAGAGCCGGAAGCUGCGGGGAGGCAGAGAGACGCCCGCAAAACUCUAGGCGCAGAGUCUCCGGGGUUUCCAGCCGGAUUCCUAGGGGAGGCGCGAAAACCCGAUCUAAACUGAGAAGAGACUGGGGCAGCAUGAAUGUGCUGGAAGAUUAGAGGCUGCUGAUGCUGAAGGAAGGAGAAACGAGGAGGAAGUGUCCCUGUGGACAAGUCAUCUCCCUUCAUUUAAGCCAGGCCAGUAGUCCGGGAGACAUUCUGAAUGAUGCAUUAUCCUAGGCACCAGAAAGUAUCUAACAUUCUCAUGGACAGCAGGGAAAAAUGAGCACAUGAGACAGGGGAAGAUUCCAGCACCUGUGAACAUGUUUGUGCAGGUUUCCAGUCAGUACAUGGAUAUCCCUCAAGCCUUUGAAUCCAGUCUCCUGUGUUGUGAUUGGACCGUUUGUCAUUAGGUUUCCAGUGGCAGAGUAAUGCUGUGGGAGAACUGGCUACGAUGGCCGCAGGAGGUGAAUUAAGUAUUGUUGUGUUUUUAGUAGAACCACUAAAGGAAGAUCUGCAGGCAAGUUGGAUGAGUAUAAGAGCCAAAGAUUGACAAGACUUCCUCAGAUGCUCCUACUGACCAGUGGGGGCACUUCUACAGCUCCCCGAAUAUGUUCUCCCUGCAACCCCCACCACUUUUUAAUUAAAUGGCCAGAACUGCCUUUUUGUAUCAAAA